AUAGCGUAUAUUAAAGUUGUUGCGGUUAAAAAGCUCGUAGUUGAAUCUGUGUGUCACGCUGUCGGUUCACCGCUCGCGGUGUCUAACUGGCAUGACGUGGUACGUCCUACCGGUGGGCUUAGCUCCCUCGUGGGGCGGCCCGACUAAUAUCCCAUCGCGGUGCUCUUCACCGGGUGUCGAGGUGGGCCGGUACGUUUACUUUGAACAAAUUAGAGUGCUCAAAGCAGGCUAUCCUCGCCUGAAUACUGCGUGCAUGGAAUAAUGGAAUAGGACCUCGGUUCUAUUUUGUUGGUUUUCGGAACCCCGAGGUAAUGAUUAAUAGGGACAGAUGGGGGCAUUCGUAUUGCGACGUUAGAGGUGAAAUUCUUGGAUCGUCGCAAGACGGACAGAAGCGAAAGCAUUUGCCAAAAAUGUUUUCAUUAAUCAAGAACGAAAGUUAGAGGUUCGAAGGCGAUCAGAUACCGCCCUAGUUCUAACCAUAAACGAUGCCAGCUAGCGAUCCGCCGAAGUUCCUCCGAUGACUCGGCGGGCAGCUUCCGGGAAACCAAAGCUUUUGGGUUCCGGGGGAAGUAUGGUUGCAAAGCUGAAACUUAAAGGAAUUGACGGAAGGGCACCACCAGGAGUGGAGCCUGCGGCUUAAUUUGACUCAACACGGGAAACCUCACCAGGCCCGGACACCGGAAGGAUUGACAGAUUGAUAGCUCUUUCUUGAUUCGGUGGGUGGUGGUGCAUGGCCGUUCUUAGUUGGUGGAGCGAUUUGUCUGGUUAAUUCCGAUAACGAACGAGACUCUAGCCUGCUAAAUAGGCGUACCUUCUGGUAUCUCGAAGGCCCCCGGCCUUCCGGCCGGUGGGUUUUUACUACCGACGUACAAACAAAUCUUCUUAGAGGGACAGGCGGCUUCUAGCCGCACGAGAUUG
This 918-nucleotide ribosomal RNA is filed under the name Xeris spectrum. Its description in RNAcentral is "SSU rRNA". It matches the Rfam family "Eukaryotic small subunit ribosomal RNA", at positions 594 to 1448 of the family's 1831-position model. The record is from RNAcentral. Lineage: Eukaryota; Metazoa; Arthropoda; Insecta; Hymenoptera; Siricidae.